Long non-coding RNA from Amphibalanus amphitrite, 431 nucleotides. RefSeq lists it as uncharacterized. Lineage: Eukaryota; Metazoa; Arthropoda; Thecostraca; Balanomorpha; Balanidae. The record is from RefSeq and is a predicted model, not a curated record. The transcript is spliced from 2 exons.
CUAUUUUUGUAUGGGAAUGAAUGUUGUGGUGAUUGUUUUCUUUUUAUAUCUAUUGUAUGGGUGAAAAUUUUAAGUUUUUUAGAGUAUCUCGAAGAGUCUUCGGAAUUCGGAUGCUAUCUUUGGCAGCGCAAAACUGUUGGUCGGAAAACGGAGAGGCGGCGGCAGGCUGUGGGACUUCCCAGCGCUGAUCGGAGGAUGCAGCGGCGUGGGCUGUAUAUAUCCCAGCGCUGGUCGGCGGACGCGACAGCGGCGGGCUGUGGGACGUCCAGCGCUGGACGGAGGACGCGGCGGCGCGGGCGCCGUCGGAUGUCCAAGUGCUGGAUGGAGGAGGUGUGGCAGGUUGCUGUGCAGACAUCAGUGGCACUGACCUCGAAAAGCGGUGCCCGCGUGUACAUAAUGUGUGCUUGUAUAAAUACAUUUGGUACAGAUUA